RNAcentral lists this ribosomal RNA (253 nucleotides) under uncultured bacterium. Its description in RNAcentral is "partial 16S ribosomal RNA". It matches the Rfam family "Bacterial small subunit ribosomal RNA", at positions 524 to 776 of the family's 1533-position model. The record is from RNAcentral.
UACGGGGGAUGCAAGUGUUAUCCGGAAUCACUGGGCGUAAAGCGUCUGUAGGUGGUCAAAUAAGUCAACUGUUAAAUCUUGAGGCUCAACCUCAAAAUCGCAGUCGAAACUAUUAGACUAGAGUAUAGUAGGGGUAAAGGGAAUUUCCAGUGGAGCGGUGAAAUGCGUAGAUAUUGGAAAGAACACCGAUGGCGAAGGCACUUUACUGGGCUAUUACUAACACUCAGAGACGAAAGCUAGGGUAGCAAAUGGG